AAUUGUUUUUUUUUUGGGCCAGAGCCUUGUAUUUUGACUUUAUUUUGGAUGACUAGCUAAAACUGUAGCUGCUUGCUUAUAUGUAGCUAGAGAAUUAAAGUGAGAAUUUUUUUUAUGGAUGGUUUGGUGGAAAAACUUACAAAAGAACAGAUGAUAUGUCAAUGUUACAUUUUUAGAAGUAACCUCUUUCAGCUCCUGGGCAUCUGUGUGGCAGGGAAAAAAAAGGGGGCUAGAUGAAGUAAAGUAUUAGUCAAUUUAGUCACAAAAAGGCAUUCUCUUCACCAACACUCUUUUUUGUGCCACACAAAUGCCCAAGCUAAGGUGCUUACUGCUAAAAAGUAAACGAGCAACGUCAUGCUGAAAUUAAUUUAUAUCUGGGGGUAGAAUAAGUGAGACCACAUCAGGUAAAAUUGGCUAAUUACCCAAUUUAAAGAUUUUUGAAGAAUAUAUAGGAAUUCCAAAAUGAAUUAAAUUUACUUUUCUCAGCUGAUAUAUCUUCUCUUUUCAAGAACAGGUAUUACCUUCCAAUGGAUUUCUACAAAUGCAUUUGCCUGUUGUAUGUUUUCUCUCCCUGUGUGCAUGCACACUUUAUUUAAUGUACUCUAACGCAAAAUCAAAACAUUUUACAUUUCACCCCGUUUCCAGAAGGUUUUUUUUAGUUCAGCAAACAAGAAAAAAUGUAUCUUAUAUAUUAAUUCCCUUGCGUGAGUAAAACUGUGAGUCCACGACACGGAAAUCACGGGUCACUUUCUUAUGACGUGGCCGUACGCUAAAAUUUAACUAAAAAAAUUAGGGUUGUACUGCAUAGAAAUCGCACAUAAGGUGUAAAUAUAUAACCCGCUGCUAAUAACGAUAUAAAUAUAUAUACCCUUAUGCCAAAAAACUCUAUGUUAGCAUAUAUAUAUAGGUAUCGCUACAUAUGAAACGGUAUUAGAUAUUCACAAAGCAUACGGACUGUUAAAUGAAGUUCCUAGCAUAAAACGGAAAUUGUGUUUACUAAAAAGAUGGCUGUUCUUUUUGAGUAUUCUCUACUCUUUCAUUCAAAAUAAAUCUUUAAAAAAACAUUUGAAGAAGAGCAUGGUUUUAUAAAUUAAUCAUAGCAAGGUUCUGUAAGGUUUUUUCAUGUUUUAUUUUCAGUUUUGAUUAUAUUAUUGUUGCCAGACAUGUUUUAUAGCUUGCACACUUUAUUUAAUGUACUCUAACGCAAAAUCAAAACAUUUUACAUUUCACCCCGUUUCCAGAAGGUUUUUUUUAGUUCAGCAAACAAGAAAAAAUGUAUCUUAUAUAUUAAUUCCCUUGCGUGAGUAAAACUGUGAGUCCACGACACGGAAAUCACGGGUCACUUUCUUAUGACGUGGCCGUACGCUAAAAUUUAACUAAAAAAAAUUAGGGUUGUACUGCAUAGAAAUCGCACAUAAGGUGUAAAUAUAUAACCCGCUGCUAAUAACGAUAUAAAUAUAUAUACCCUUAUGCCAAAAAACUCUAUGUUAGCAUAUAUAUAUAGGUAUCGCUACAUAUGAAACGGUAUUAGAUAUUCACAAAGCAUACGGACUGUUAAAUGAAGUUCCUAGCAUAAAACGGAAAUUGUGUUUACUAAAAAGAUGGCUGUUCUUUUUGAGUAUUCUCUACUCUUUCAUUCAAAAUAAAUCUUUAAAAAAACAUUUGAAGAAGAGCAUGGUUUUAUAAAUUAAUCAUAGCAAGGUUCUGUAAGGUUUUUUCAUGUUUUAUUUUCAGUUUUGAUUAUAUUAUUGUUGCCAGACAUGUUUUAUAGCUAGCAUCAUAAAAAGCCAACCACCACCAACAACUAGCUAGCUAGCUAGGAAUAUAUAUAUAUAUAUAUAUAUAUAUGUAGCCAUGUUCUUUAUAGCUAGCUAAGUCUCCAGUUUAUAUUUAAGUGACUAGCUAUUAGCUGCUGUAGCUAGCUAAUGCUAGCUUUAAACUAAAGAUUCCCAGUAUAUAUAUAUUCCCACAAAACACAUCAAACGUUAUUAACCCUGAAAAUUUUAAACAUUUUCCUGGGUUUUUUUUGGUUUGCGAAGUUCUUUUCCUCCAAAUAUUCUGAAAAUAAAGUUCAGAAAUUACUUAUUUUUAAAAUGUAAAUUUAAUUUGUUUCAAAUUGUGGGCAAAAACCUUAAUCAGCAUGCUAAAAGAACUGACUUUUCUUAAUUUAGAAUUACUAAACACAACCAUUUUCUUACAAUUAGUGUAAACUUUUGUGCGUAUGGCUUAUAUUUAAUACACCAAAAGAGCUACUUUGUUGAUUUCAAUUUUAUACUCUUUGCUGUGUCUGUGAAACUUUAAGGGGAACAUUUGGUGGAAGACAAUGGCAUGACAUAUACUGAUAGAACUGAUUUUUGUUGUGUUAGAUGUUAUAUCUGAACCUUUUUGACAUUUUAUGUUAAUUUUACGAGGAA
Molecule: long non-coding RNA, 2414 nt
Organism: Hydractinia symbiolongicarpus
Lineage: Eukaryota; Metazoa; Cnidaria; Hydrozoa; Anthoathecata; Hydractiniidae
Exons: 2
Source: RefSeq, a predicted model, not a curated record